GCCCAAUAUUCCAUCAGGUUAUUCUAUGAUUUGUAUUCGAAUAGUGUUAGACCAUUCUAUAGCAAUCUGUCCUAUUCACAAAUGCUCAUAACUCCCUUCCCUUUCCACAGCUCCUUCUAAACCCUUUAUACCAAGAGAUGUAUCAAUGGAUAGCACUAUAUGCCUAUUUACCACCUGACACCCAAUACCAACUGAAUUAAAU
Molecule: non-coding RNA, 202 nt
Organism: Pelobates cultripes (western spadefoot toad)
Lineage: Eukaryota; Metazoa; Chordata; Amphibia; Anura; Pelobatidae
Source: the annotation of a GenBank genome assembly